This 612-nucleotide ribosomal RNA is filed under the name uncultured bacterium. RNAcentral's name for it is "bacterial SSU rRNA". It matches the Rfam family "Bacterial small subunit ribosomal RNA", at positions 39 to 657 of the family's 1533-position model. The record is from RNAcentral.
GCGGCGUGGAUUAGGCAUGCAAGUCGUGCGGAAAGGCCCUAGCUUGCUAGGGCACUCGAGCGGCGAAAGGGAGAGUAACGCGUAGGUUACCUACCUCCAGGACCGGGAUAGCGGCGGGAAACUGCCGGUAAUACCGGAUGACGUCUUUGGACCAAAGGUGUGAUUCCGCCUGGAGAGGGGCCUGCGUCCUAUUAGCUUGUUGGUGAGGUAACGGCUCACCAAGGCAAAGAUGGGUAGCGGGUGUGAGAGCAUGGCCCGUCUCACUGGGACUGAGACACUGCCCAGACACCUACGGGUGGCUGCAGUCGAGAAUCUUCGGCAAUGGGCGCAAGCCUGACCGAGCGACGCCGCGUGCAGGAUGAAGGCCUUCGGGUUGUAAACCGCUGUCAGAGGGAAGGAAAUGCAAAGGGGUUCUCUCCUUUGUUUGACCGAACCUCAGAGGAAGCACGGGCUAAGUUCGUGCCAGCAGCCGCGGUAAGACGAACCGUGCGAACGUUAUUCGGAAUCACUGGGCUUAAAGCGGGCGCAGGCGGUCUGUCAAGUCGGGUGUGAAAGCCCAGGGCUCAACCCUGGAACUGCACUCGAAACUGACAGACUUGAGUCUCGGAGAGG